GCUCCAACUGCCAAUGCAGUGCUUCAAGGAAUGCCACAUCAGUUCCGAAUACUUGAAGAUUUGGAGCAAGGCAAUGAAUACACGCUUGUAAAGCAGAAACACUGGAAAUGCAUUAGUAAAAAGAAAACAGAGCCUGUGUAAAUUGCAUCCUACUGCCGUCUUGUCUGCUGCCUGCAAUCCCAACCCCCAUCUUCCAAAAUAGAGACACCACAUCCCACGUCCUCUCACAACAGGCUGCUCCACACAGUGGGGAGGCAUCCUCAGCAUUUUAUUUCUGAGGUUGAAUUCAGUGAUUUCAUUCUGCUCUGCUUAGAAUUCUGGGAGAAAAUUUACACAUGGACACAUGGAACCAUAAUCUUCUAAGGUGCUGUCACAUCAUGAUAGUAUCUUCAAACUAUGUUUGACAGGAUAGAGAAGACAGUGUAAUGGACAGGCAGGACAUGUCUUCCAGGAAUAACAGCUAGACACUUCGCUUCACACAGUGCUAUAAUAUUUCACCUAUCAAGGACAAGAUGCUGGGUAUUUACAGACUGUAAUGAGACUGUCCACUGUUUGAUGUUACCAUAAAUAAACAGGGAUACGUGGGCACCUGGGUUCAACAGCUGAAGAGCAGAUACCUGCAUUCCAAAUGAAAAUGAAAUCUCAAACCAAGCCAUCUUUAAGGAUCACAAUGUUAAGAUUUCAAUGGGACAGUUCGUGGAGCAACUUUCUGAUGCUGCAAUUUGGCCCAGGACUGAUGACUUCAAUGGAAUUAUACCAAUUCUCACCACCAGAGAGUUUAGUCUAAUUUGAAGAAGGGUGGCAGAAUGUGACCCAUAGUGAGAAUCUUGACAACAACGCAACUAGUAUUGAAAUGCAAGAGUUAUAUUAUGUGCUAACCUAAACUCAUACAACUCCAACUCUGCUGGGGGCCCAGAGCCAGUUGGGAAAGGGCUGGGCUUCUGGUCACAUAUACAGACACGUACUUGUGUGUGAAAUUAUCUCAUCUGUGCAUUCAAAUACCAAUCUGAGUGUGCAAAUGUGGGGUUUGGUGGUUCAUACACUAUGUACCACAUCCCCAUUAUAUCCUCUGCAAAUUUGGCCCUUUGAAAACACCCAUUAGUGUGUUUUGCUCAGGAAUAUGGUGAUGCCAUAUUAGAUUAGACAAAUUAGAUUCCAGUCCACACCUGAAGUUAUACUUGGGAAUAUGCGAUCUAGUCAAUUUUGUAAUACUACCACCAUGUGAUAAAGGCUUUGCCAUAUAAUUUAACCUAAGUGCUAUAUAUGUCAUCAACUAUGUGGUAAAUAUGCCUAUUUUUCCUCACGAAAAUUCAGAAGAGAGAGGUUGCUGUCUAGUACAUUUCAUUAUUUAUUGUGUCAAUUCAGUGCAAUUCAAUAUAUUGUGUUAAUUUCCUUUUCCUAUUUUUUAAAGAAGUAAUCUGUCACUGAGGUUGUAACAGCUCCAGUUUUAAUGGAAGUCUAUGAGACAAUGUCAAUGAAAU
Mauremys reevesii (Reeves's turtle) is the source of this 1481-nucleotide long non-coding RNA. RefSeq lists it as uncharacterized. The transcript is spliced from 6 exons. Lineage: Eukaryota; Metazoa; Chordata; Testudines; Geoemydidae. The record is from RefSeq and is a predicted model, not a curated record.